This 484-nucleotide ribosomal RNA is filed under the name uncultured bacterium. RNAcentral describes it as "partial 16S ribosomal RNA". It matches the Rfam family "Bacterial small subunit ribosomal RNA", at positions 29 to 507 of the family's 1533-position model. The record is from RNAcentral.
AUUGAACGCUGGCGGCAGGCCUAACACAUGCAAGUCGAGCGGAUGAAGGGAGCUUGCUCCUGGAUUCAGCGGCGGACGGGUGAGUAAUGCCUAGGAAUCUGCCUGGUAGUGGGGGAUAACGUCCGGAAACGGGCGCUAAUACCGCAUACGUCCUGAGGGAGAAAGUGGGGGAUCUUCGGACCUCACGCUAUCAGAUGAGCCUAGGUCGGAUUAGCUAGUUGGUGGGGUAAAGGCCUACCAAGGCGACGAUCCGUAACUGGUCUGAGAGGAUGAUCAGUCAGAGUGGGACUGAGAAAGAGGCGAAACACCUGCGGGGGCGCGCGGAGGGGGGUGUGGGACAAGGGGCGGAGGGUGGAUCAAGCGAUGCAGUGUGUGUGAAGAAGGUCUACUAAGUGUAGAGCAGUUUAAGUGUGAGGGAAAGGCUGAAAGUUAAUAACUGCCGGUUAUGAGGUGACCAAAAGAAUAAGAGACGGCUCACUAAGUG